Molecule: long non-coding RNA, 579 nt
Filed under: Mytilus galloprovincialis (Mediterranean mussel)
Lineage: Eukaryota; Metazoa; Mollusca; Bivalvia; Mytilida; Mytilidae
Source: RNAcentral
AAAUGGUAGAAUCUUUUUUCAUGAUUUUAUCUAUGACUUAAUGAAUCUCAGUUAUGUCCCCUUAAAUCUCUUUUCUUUUAUGAACAAAUGGUAGAAUCUUUUUUCAUGAUUAUAUCUAUGACUUAAUGAAUCUCAGUUAUGUCCCCUUAAAACUCUUUUCUGUUAUGAACAAAUGGAAGAAUCUUUUUUCAUGACUUUAUCUGACUUAAUGAAUCUCAGUUAUGUCCCCUUAAACCUCUUUUCUUUUAUGAACAAAUGGUAGUAUCUUUUUUCAUGAUUUUAUCUAUGACUUAAUGAAUCUCAGUUAUGUCCCCUUAAACCUCUUUUCUUUUAUGAACAAAUGGUAGAAUAUUUUUUCAUCAUGAUUUUAUCUGACUUAAUGAAUCUCAGUUAUGUCCCCUUAAACCUCUUUUCUUUAAUGAACAAAUGGUAGAAUCUUUUUUUGCAUGAUUUAAUCAGCUAUGGUACAUAAAAAUUCUACCUUUACUGAUUUUUUCUGGUGGAAUCUGAAUGUUUAUAUAUUUUUAUAUUAAAAGUAUAAGUACAAACAAAUAGAAUUUAGUUAGAUAGAUCUGUAAU